Molecule: unclassified non-coding RNA, 182 nt
Filed under: soil metagenome
Description: partial internal transcribed spacer 1
Source: RNAcentral
CCGAGUUUACAACUCCCAAACCCAAUGUGAACGUUACCAAACUGUUGCCUCGGCGGGGUCACGCCCCGGGUGUGUAAAAGCCCCGGAACCAGGCGCCCGCCGGAGGAACCAACCAAACUCUUUCUGUAGUCCCCUCGCGGACGUAUUUCUUACAGCUCUGAGCAAAAAUUCAAAAUGAAUCA